Molecule: long non-coding RNA, 2054 nt
Filed under: Prunus persica (peach)
Lineage: Eukaryota; Viridiplantae; Streptophyta; Magnoliopsida; Rosales; Rosaceae
Description: long non-coding RNA (PPER_LNC005890)
Source: RNAcentral
UUCUCUCUCCUCCCGAUUUUUGCUCCAGCCGCCCGACCUUUCCUCCUUCUCCUUGACGCCACGGCCGCCACACUUGGAACCGAUCUCCGCCGUUGGUACCAAACGAACCACCACUCGACCGCCGACGUUUCUUGACCCUUCGCCGGAGUUUCCGUGGCCGGAGAUCGCCGGAAAACUCCAUUUUCGCCGGAUUUCCAGUUUGAACUUUGAGCUCGAUUUUCUCCUUCAAUUCUCCACCAAAUCGAUCGAGUAAGGUAUGGUUUCUCAGCUCCUUUUCGUGUUCUAGCUAAUGGAUGUAUGGGUUUCGAUCGAUUUGAGCUCUAAAGGGUUCGAUUUUUCGACUUGAAAAUUGGCCGAAACUUCGGCCGCCGUGAUCUACUGUUUUCGAUCACUUUUUGGGGUAUGUCCAAGAACAAAAGUGACUCCAAAUGGGGUGGUUUACCUAAAAUAGGAGUUUGGAGUCUUGGUUCCGAGAUUUUUCGGCCACUCGGUAUCGCUUUAGACACCCGAAUCUGCCCGCGCGUGCUGGGGCGCGUGGGCGAGGGUGGUGGAGUAACUCUGGGCAGUUUUGAGAUCCUCGUGUCAUCACGAGCGCGUAGGAUUUCGCGGAUCUCGAUUCGGAGUCCGUUUGAGCCCCGAACGGAUUUUCCAUAUCGCGCGAUCCUUGGGUGCAGUGUCGUCAAAUCGUCGGAUCGCGCUGAAUUUCGGAUAUGUCGGUCUACAUGAUUUCAGGAUCGUGUAGGAUUCGACGGAUUGCGAAUCGGAGUCCCGGAUACUCCGAAAUCGCAAACCCUGGGGCUAGGGUUUGGAUUUUAAGCGAUAACGCGAUUUUGGCUAAUCCGACCAUCCGUUUCGGACCAAACUCGCAGAACAUGGUUCCUUCUCUGUAAGGAACCUUCAGAGGAGCCCAGAUUGGCCAUUGGAGACCGUGGACCCACGUGGUCCGGGAUCGGCCGAUCUGGCAGUAUAUCGCUUAGUAAGGCUUCAGGUCUCUUAAGGUCGUUCUAGCUGUCUAAAAAGCUAAUGUGGGCAUAAGAGUAACUUUAAAAUGAGUGCACGUAUUUCUAGGAGCCGGGGGCAGGGUGUUUAAUUUGAUUCUUUUUAUUCAGCAGUUUAUUGAUUUAUUAUUCAUGGAUAAUCAGGCACCAGAGGUCCAGUCGACCUGCAGGAAGGACCUUCGAAGGGUCCAAUUAGGUCGGACCAUCAGUGAGUGGACUCUUUGUUUUAAUAAAUGAAGUUAAGCAGUUCAGUUAUAAGCUGUUUUAUGCUGUUAACUAUUUUAUGUUGCAUGCUGCCGAGUGCAAUUUCCUUUAAAGCUUGUAUGAACAGAUAUUCUCGUUAAUUAUCAGAUAAAUGGCAGCAGAAUUUUAAGGUUACAGAAAGUUAAUUCUUCAACAACUUUUCUUCAGAAACUUUAUAUUUUCUUAAAUCACCUUGUACCCAGUUAUUAAAUGUUGCUUUCGGUUUAUAUUUGUUACCUUCGGUUUAGUCAGCAUGCUUGACAGUUGCCCCACGAGUUCCUUGAUACUCGAACUCGUGUGGAGCGAGUAAUGCGGAUAAAGGUGGACUACGGUUCCCUGAAUCCUGCGAGUUGCGGCUCGGACUGACUUCGUGUCACUGAGACCUGCGAGUAUGUGUCACCCAUGGUGAUGCAAGGAAUUGACGGAUAUAAGGAUUUGACGGAAAUAGGGGUACACCUAGGUGAUAGUUUUCAACUGUUUUCAAAUGUAUAGUUAUAUACAUGCAUUGAUUUCAGAAAUAAAGAAAAUAAGUUAGUUUGUAUAACUGUUUUUACAGUGGGGUUAGUAUGUUCAUAUAUUUUCUACGCUUUGUUUUGGGUCCACUCACCCUUCUUGUUGUUUUGCGCCCCCAGGCAGUAGACGUGCACAGGAAUCCACCACCGGGCCACUUCCCAUCUUCCGCGCCUUUCUUUGAUGUAGGAUUUGUAUUUUGUACAAAGAUUCACUCUUUUGUAAAUUCUUAGCAGUCGCUCUGAUGUUUUGCCCUAGACUGAGUUUUAAUCUCUUGGAAUGUAUAUAUACAUAUGCUGGCAG